This is a long non-coding RNA of Equus asinus (donkey), 1638 nucleotides long. The record is from Ensembl. NCBI's taxonomy places the organism in Eukaryota, Metazoa, Chordata, Mammalia, Perissodactyla, Equidae.
UUCCUGCACAAAUUAAAAUGACCCCCGAAGGCAUAAAGCACACAAGCUUUAUUGGGCAACAGCGACGGCGCAGGCUGGCAGACAAUGAAAGGAGAACCACUCAGAAACACGCGGGAUCACAUGUGUGUCAUCACAGGAUCGAGAAUUUAAAUCAUCUGGGAAUUCCUGCUAAAUUAAAGCAUACUGCACCACAGCUUUCCUCUAAUCAAAACGCGCUGGCCUGGGGAACAUUUGCAGCGAGGAUGACAUAGAAAGAGAUCCACUAACGAGGAAGUCAUGGAAGCCUGGAUGGGUUUACAGUCAGCCCCAGUGCAACAAAGUAACAAAUUAGCCACGAUUUUUUUGCAAAUACCACGCCCCCAACAUGCCCCCCACAAACCCAGUAUUUACUGACAUCGCCCAGCGACAUUAACAGCCGGUGCCUCCAACCACGCUGGGAUGGGGAGACAGACCCACAGGUAGGCGACGCGACUUCCGCAUGCGAAGAUGCUACGGGACUCAAGGUGUCAGCAUCGCUCACACAGUGGUAUGCUUUUCAAUUCCCUUCAGAAACAUAAUACAUAUUUUUUCCAGGAUGAACUGGACAUAAUUAAUGGAAAUAUUUCCUAAGAAGCGCAUAUAAAUGACAAAAAGCUUUACAUUAAAAGGGGGGGGAGAAAUAAAAUCUGUCGUAUUUACAAAGCUCCUGGUAUAUUUUUUAAAGAAAACAAAGCCAGGAGUGAUAGGAUUUUAAUGCAAUGAAAACCAAAUAUCUCUUCAAAAAACUUGAGAUGACAUCAUACCCUCACACACACACAUUUCAAACACACAAAAAAGGUCAAAGAUAAAAAUGGCUGACAGGUGUUUGCCUUAAAUAGGAUGGAGCUGAGGAACACACAGGUCCCACCUGCAAUUUUGGCAAAGAUUUAAAAUGCUGCCCCAUAAAGGCGUGAAGGCGUUCCCGUCCCCACCCCCGUAAAAACAAAACAAAGGAUAAAAACAAAAGUCUAGAGGAAGAAAAACAGGCAGGAUCGUGUCAAUUUUCAAUGAGCACAAAACCCAAAAUACAUUCAAAAGUGUUGUCAGUAUAAGCUAAAUUUUCAGCAGAAAACAUACUGGGGAAAGGGCAAGCAGACGGCGGCAUUUAAUACACUGCUACAAAAAGGGAAGCGAGUCAGGAUCUGGAUAUAAUAAUGCUCAAAGUGGGAGGAGUCCCAGCUCUCGGCCUCCUGGCCCCAGGGGGCUGUAAACAGGUGGUCCACGCCAAUGUCAGGAUGCUCCCUGGGACGCCCCCCUCGCAGCCCUGCGGCACGGUCCCCUGCCCCAGGCAGCCCUGUCGGCUCAGCCAGCCCCACCUAGCACCAUAGGCGACACCCACGUGCAUGCUCGCAAAAUUCGAAUCAAAGCUGUCGGAUAUAAGAGAUUAAUGAAGACGGAGAAGCUUGUCCGGUCAUUUUCUUACAGAAAGGAAGGAAGGAAGGAAGCGAAAAAAGAGAAACCAGACAGAUCCCACUCUCCCCACGCACACACAACCAUCAUCAAAAGACAGCAUAAAAAUAACCAUAAAAGAAUAAAAGUGCUGACUCUGACAGAAAUACCUAGUGUUGUCGGAGGACAGGAGGAGUCGUAAUCUUUAAGGAAAAGGGUUUAAACAGUGCU